This 293-nucleotide long non-coding RNA is filed under the name Rosa chinensis. Its description in RNAcentral is "sRNA RchiOBHm_Chr1g0321361". The record is from RNAcentral. Lineage: Eukaryota; Viridiplantae; Streptophyta; Magnoliopsida; Rosales; Rosaceae.
CGCGCGUGUCGAUGCAGGCGUGAUGGAACGAAGCGAGUCGAGUAAAGGUGUGCAGUGGUGCACGGCAGCAGGGGCUGCAGUGGCAGUGAGUUGCAGGUGUGCUGCAGGGGCAGCAGGGGGUGCAGGGGCUACGGGCGCGAAGUAGGCAGGCCGGUUGCGGGGCAGCAGUUGUUGCGGGCAAGGCAGCAGCGAACGCAGGUGUGCGUACGGGCUGCGGGGGCAGGUGUGCGCGGGGCAGCAGAUGUGCGGCAGAGCUGCAGGAGCAGCAGGGCAGCGACGCGGGGCUGCAGACG